AAGACUAUACUUUCAGGGACCAUUUCUAUAGUUCACUACUGGGGAAGUUUCUCUGAACAUAUAGAUCACCCCAAACCACAAGGAGGAAGCACAUUGUUCUCUCCUGAGCAUGAAGUCUGUUCCUCGUGUUGCUUCUGCAACUGCUAUUUACCAUUUAUUAUCAUUCUUCAAUUCCUUUUGGGGUGAAAGGGGGAGAAUGCUGUCUGAGUGGU
Molecule: small nucleolar RNA, 212 nt
Organism: Manis pentadactyla (Chinese pangolin)
Lineage: Eukaryota; Metazoa; Chordata; Mammalia; Pholidota; Manidae
Product: small nucleolar RNA U3
Exons: 1
Source: RefSeq, a predicted model, not a curated record